AAGUCGAACGGAACAGGCCGCAAGGUGCUGACGAGUGCGGACGGGUAGUAAUACGUAGGUAUCUGCCCUGUAGUGGGGGAUAACCCGGGGAAACCCGGGCUUAAUACCGCAUACGCUCCUUUAUUGUUGAGAUAGGAGAGGAAAGCGAGGGACCGAAAGGCCUCGCGCUAGAGGAUGAGCCUACGUCCGAUUAGCUAGUUGGUAGGGUAAAGGCUUACCAAGGCGACGAUCGGUAGCUGGUCUGAGAGGAUGGCCAGCCACACUGGGACUGAGACACAGCCCAGACUCCUACGGGAGGCAGCAGUGGGGAAUAUUGGACAAUGGGGGAAACCCUGAUCCAGCGAUGCCGCGUGGGUGAAGAAGGCCUGCGGGUUGUAAAGCCCUUUCAGUGGGGAAGAAAAACGGGGUGUGAACAGCGCCUCGUCUUGACGUUA
RNAcentral lists this ribosomal RNA (434 nucleotides) under uncultured bacterium. RNAcentral's name for it is "bacterial SSU rRNA". It matches the Rfam family "Bacterial small subunit ribosomal RNA", at positions 59 to 477 of the family's 1533-position model. The record is from RNAcentral.